GACGUCAAAUCAUCAUGCCCCUUAUGACCUGGGCUACACACGUGCUACAAUGGAUGGUACAAAGGGUCGCGAAGCCGCGAGGUGGAGCCAAUCCCAUAAAACCAUUCUCAGUUCGGAUUGUAGGCUGCAACUCGCCUACAUGAAGCCGGAAUCGCUAGUAAUCGUGGAUCAGCAUGCCACGGUGAAUACGUUCCCGGGCCUUGUACACACCGCCCGUCACACCACGAGAGUUUGUAACACCCGAAGUCGGUAGGGUAACCUUUAUGGAGCCAGCCGCCGAAGGUGGGACAGAUAAUUGGGGUGAAGUCGUAACAAGGUAGCCGUAUCGGAAGGUGCGGCUGGAUCACCUCCUUUCUAAGGAA
This 362-nucleotide ribosomal RNA is filed under the name Listeria welshimeri. Its description in RNAcentral is "bacterial SSU rRNA". It matches the Rfam family "Bacterial small subunit ribosomal RNA", at positions 1181 to 1533 of the family's 1533-position model. Lineage: Bacteria; Bacillati; Bacillota; Bacilli; Caryophanales; Listeriaceae. The record is from RNAcentral.